UUCACCAAAGGGUAGCCAUGGCUAGGGUC
RNAcentral lists this non-coding RNA (29 nucleotides) under Rattus norvegicus (Norway rat). Lineage: Eukaryota; Metazoa; Chordata; Mammalia; Rodentia; Muridae. The record is from RNAcentral.